Molecule: long non-coding RNA, 642 nt
Filed under: Equus asinus (donkey)
Lineage: Eukaryota; Metazoa; Chordata; Mammalia; Perissodactyla; Equidae
Description: lncRNA (ENSEASG00005034243.1)
Source: RNAcentral
CACGGGGCCAGCCCCUUGUGGAGCAUUUUUUUAGCAGAGCCAAAGAAGGAAGAUCUUCAUGGCCAGAGAGUGCUUAAGAGUACACCUAGUUGAUUUUGUAAGAUGGUGUACAAAAAGGAAAACCAGACUUCUAGUUUGCUCUCUGGACUCAUUAAUUUCCACCCUGGAAUAAAUAUCCAGGAAGUAUUAUGGUUUUUCUUUUCCCUUUUUUUUUUUCCUUUUGGUCUUGCUCACCUAAAAAGUCCUCCAGCCUAGCUCCAUUUCAAGUUACAACUUCUUCCCUCUCCCAGCUCCAACAUGCUUCAGGCGUGGAUGCCUGCAGUAGGAAGAAGCUCUCCUCCCCAUCUAUGUUCUUCACCACAAAGUGCCACCACAAGAUCUUCGUUCAGUCAAUGACCCUCCCAGGAUCCCUCCUGGUUCCUUUCUUUCCUCAUGCCAACAUGAGGGGCCUCUUGUCCUUUACUUACCUUCAACCCAUUCCACAGGUGUAAGAAAGAGGAAAAACGCAUUUGCAAGUAGGGGAAGGGAACACCAGCGGACCUCACUGUGAGCCAUCAGGACACUACAUUAGGCAGUUUGGCACAGCAAACAUUUUAUGGACUGGUGAAGCAAUCAUUUAGAAAAAUACAUCUCUGAAGCCAU